Molecule: long non-coding RNA, 2705 nt
Organism: Triticum dicoccoides
Lineage: Eukaryota; Viridiplantae; Streptophyta; Magnoliopsida; Poales; Poaceae
Exons: 9
Source: RefSeq, a predicted model, not a curated record
CCCCUCCCGCACGCCUCCUCUCCUCCCACCCACAUCGCCGCCGCUGCCGCCGCCGCCUUCCUCCUCCCACACCCCCGCCUCCCUCUCCUCUUCCUCUCCCCUUAGCACCGCCCGCACCCGCGCCUCCCUCUCCUCCUCUCGCCCCUAGCGCCGCCAUCACUGCCUCCUUCCCCGCCGCCGCCCGACCUCCUCCCCUUGCGUUCUCCUCAAUCCACCCAGUAGCUCAGGCAGCGGUCUGAUCUGGCGACCCCUUCCUCCAACUCUCGCGGACGUCACCCGGAGUGGAGAGGAGAGGCAGAUCCCGCUGCCACCGGCGACCUCGCUCCCUCCCUCCUCAGAUGGACGGAAGGGGCAACACCGCCUGAAACCCUAGCCCCGCCCCUCACCCACCCAUGGAUGGACGGAUGGGGACGGGGUGAUGACGGCGACAACUUCUUUACUGCCGCGGCGGCGGCGGCCCUCGACACCAAUGAACGCUGGUUCUUCCUCCUCAUCCACGACGCCCAUCUCCGGCCAUGGCGACCUCGGAUCUUCGGCCCUGGUUGCUCAGAUGUUGUUUCUGCUACUGGAGGUGGACGUGGUGAGCUCCAUCCCAUCUUUUUACCCUGCUGAAGCACAUACUGAUUAUGUGGAGUUUUUCGAACUGCCAGCUAUAAAGGUCAGGGAAUAAUAGCACAACAUGGAUUCAUAAACCCACGGUGGGUGGAUGGUGAGCUAUUGGUACUCAAUGGCAAGAAAAAAAAAACAUCUGGCGCUUUUGGUUUGCAUUUGCAGCAGCACUGCUAGAAUUCUACUGAAAUAAAUGUCUAAGCAUCACCAUCAUGUAUAAGUUGUGCAUGCUAAAAUAGUUGUAUUCAAUUUUGGAGACUUUUAGAGUAUAGUGCUGCCGUUUCCAUUUGGAAGACAUCAAUAUAGUGUUUCCAAUUCCAAGAUUAUAUUUCUGGAUCUAAGUAGCGUAUAUUUCUAGCAUCCUUCUGUGCUAAGAAUUUUGGAGAAAUCUAACUUUGAGAGAAAUAUAGUGUUUCCUAUUUGUAAAACUAUAGAGAUUAUAGAAGUAUUGGAUGCCAGAAUAUAGUGUUUCCAAGAUUGCUUUGGCUAAAGCUUAUAGAUUGUUUUCUCUCAAUGUUAGAUUUGUUUAUUGAUGUCGUCCAAGUACUCAUUUGAUGUCACUUCCUGACUUUUGUAGAGUUUUAUAUCUUGGCAAAAUACUUUGUAAAAGAAAUGAUAAGUAAAUAUGAGGUCUCGAAAGUUCUGUGUAUUUUCAGAGCAUGGAAACUAAAUAAACACUUUGAGUCCAUCAUUUUGUGUUUGAAAGCUCUUCAGAUUCCAUUUAUUUGCUACCGUUGGCAUUGGACAUAUUACUCAUGCAGUGAUACAUAUAUGUGAUGAUUUCUGACUUGACUUAUGCUAUCUCCUUGGUCCUCUGCAUGUUCUGGUUGUUGACAAGCAGGCAAUGUGUGCCAUGAUGAGAGCAACCCAAGUGAGCAUGGGAGUUUCCUCUUGGUGAUGAUAGCCGGUCGACGCCACCAUGGCAGUGUUCUUUGGCACUCAGGUCAACAUAGUAGGGUUCUCCUUGUCAUUGAUAGCAUCGGUUAACAUAGCGGCAGGGGUCACGGUCGCCCGAGGAGCACAACCACACGGGGCUGGUCCUGCCGCCGCCAAAGAAGAGCGGAGGAGGUCGAUACAGGGUCGAGGGGCACGGGCGAGGUUCAUGCCGCACGGGGGCACGCGCCUCCAGCGAGAGAAGGCUUCUCCUGUUCCCGUGCCGCCAGGCACCCCUCAUCGCCGCCCUACUUGUCCUCUGGUCGUCGGUGCUCUGUUGGUUGAUGGAUUUUUCUUAUCUGCCAGCAGACCGCACUGGAGGCUGCCGCCAUAUCUGAGGACAUCGUGAUGAGGUUGCCGCUUUGGCCAUAGCAGAGGGGAUCCAGCCGGCACGCCGCGUCUCCCAUAAACAUGCCUAAUUUUAUAUUCAGAGGUAGCAUUGAUCUACUUGCCCCCUUCAAAAGGCCAUAUGUGUUGCUUUGUUUUACUUCUCUUUCAUAUCCAGUUAUUUAGAAAUUCUCUGCUAACCUCCCGGCACUUAAAUAUGAUUAGGUAUAAUGUGAAGCAUUUGCUUGACAGAGGUACCUUCAUGUCAAUGUGAAGCAUUUAUGUUGCUAUAUGUUGCAGGAAUGUAUCCAUGUACUGGGAAACCUGUGAACUCUUUGAUACACCUUUUAUGUGUUGCUUUUGGUCUUGAUAGAGGGAGAUACAUUGACAGGAAGUUCUCACUCGCUAGAAUUGUUUCUAUCAGGGGCAGAAUUAUUGUUGAAACAUGCACUGUGUGAAGAUGAAUAGGAACCUUUCAUAAUUAUUCUCAAACAUGCCACUGUGUCAUCAUUGGCCAAUGCAGGACCUCUUAGAUUAUACAAGUCCCUAUGUUUGUUUGGAUUCAUUAACCAUGGGAUUGGACUUUCAUUCGAUGCCACUAGCUCCUGUGAUGCACUGUGUAAACUACCGUGUGAUCUCCCUCUUCUUUUGUGAUUGCAUCCCCUUUGUCACAUCUAUCCAUCCUUUUGUACUUGAUAUGUACCGUGUAUGAACAAUUGUAUCCUUUAGUUUACCCUGUAUAUGAACAUUGCAUCCUCAAAUGUGUUGUGUUGUCGUUCUGUUGGCUAUGGAGAUGUGUUGUACUACAGUUUUGGUAUCCAUCUAUGAUGUCUUGC